UGGUAAUGCCGGAUGCUCCAGUUGAUCGCAUGGUCUUCUGGGAAAGCUUUCGCGGUAUGGGAUGGGGUCGCGUCCUAUCAGCUUGACGGCGGGGUAACGGCCCACCGUGGCUUCGACGGGUAGCCGGCCUGAGAGGGCGACCGGCCACAUUGGGACUGAGAUACGGCCCAGACUCCUACGGGAGGCAGCAGUGGGGAAUAUUGCACAAUGGGCGCAAGCCUGAUGCAGCGACGCCGCGUGAGGGAUGGAGGCCUUCGGGUUGUAAACCUCUUUUAUCGGGGAGCAAGCGAGAGUGAGUUUACCCGUUGAAUAAGCACCGGCUAACUACGUGCCAGCAGCCGCGGUAAUACGUAGGGUGCAAGCGUUAUCCGGAAUUAUUGGGCGUAAAGGGCUCGUAGGCGGUUCGUCGCGUCCGGUGUGAAAGUCCAUCGCUUAACGGUGGAUCCGCGCCGGGUACGGGCGGGCUUGAGUGCGGUAGGGGAGACUGGAAUUCCCGGUGUAACGGUGGAAUGUGUAGAUAUCGGAAAAA
RNAcentral lists this ribosomal RNA (529 nucleotides) under Bifidobacterium longum subsp. suillum. RNAcentral's name for it is "bacterial SSU rRNA". It matches the Rfam family "Bacterial small subunit ribosomal RNA", at positions 161 to 705 of the family's 1533-position model. The record is from RNAcentral. Lineage: Bacteria; Bacillati; Actinomycetota; Actinomycetes; Bifidobacteriales; Bifidobacteriaceae.